ACCGCACAAGCGGUGGAUGAUGUGGAUUAAUUCGAUGCAACGCGAAAAACCUUACCUACCCUUGACAUGUCUGGAACCUUGCUGAGAGGCGAGGGUGCCUUCGGGAGCCAGAACACAGGUGCUGCAUGGCUGUCGUCAGCUCGUGUCGUGAGAUGUUGGGUUAAGUCCCGCAACGAGCGCAACCCUUGUCAUUAGUUGCCAUCAUUUAGUUAGGGCACUCUAAUGAGACUGCCGGUGACAAACCGGAGGAAGGUGGGGAUGACGUCAAGUCCUCAUGGCCCUUAUGGGUAGGGCUUCACACGUCAUACAAUGGUCGGUACAGAGGGUUGCCAAGCCGCGAGGUGGAGCCAAUCCCUUAAAGCCGAUCGUAGUCCGGAUCGUAGGCUGCAACUCGCCUACAUGAAGUCGGAAUCGCUAGUAAUCGCGGAUCAGCACGCCGCGGUCGAAUACGUUCCCGGGCCUU
This 463-nucleotide ribosomal RNA is filed under the name uncultured Thauera sp. RNAcentral describes it as "bacterial SSU rRNA". It matches the Rfam family "Bacterial small subunit ribosomal RNA", at positions 920 to 1382 of the family's 1533-position model. Lineage: Bacteria; Pseudomonadati; Pseudomonadota; Betaproteobacteria; Rhodocyclales; Zoogloeaceae. The record is from RNAcentral.